GAAUCUUGUCAGUGGAAUAUUAUAUCUACUGUUGUGUGAUGAAGGAAGCUGACCAACUGUGUAAAGUUUUCACUGUGAUCUGCGGUGGUUGUUUAUCAUGAAGAGAUCCAUUCGACCCACAACACGUGAUCGUGAAGGCCGUGUCCAACAUCAUCUGCUCAGUGGUGUUCGGAGACUGCUAUGAGCACAAGGACACCGUUUCCACAGCCUCCUGGACAUCCGCAAUUAAAAUCUCUUCCUGACUGGAUCUGCUCUCGGCCAGAGGAUCCAGAGGAAUGUGUCAGAGCUGAAAGGCUUCAUAUCGGAGGUGGCCAGGCAGUACUGGAAGACCCUGGACAGGGACAACCUCUGAGACUUCAUAGACUCCUACCUGAUUGGAGAGACCGGACUCGAGUCCGGACUCAGCGUACUUUGAGGAGAACAUGGUGUUGUCGCUGGCUGAUCGCUUCCUGGCUGGGACUGACACCACCUUCACCACCAUCAGAUGUGGACUCCUCAACAUGAUGGAGCACCCAUACAUUCAAGAUUUUUCAUGUGUUGGGGUUCGGCUGCACCCCCUCAAUGGACAACAGGGCAUCCCUCUCCUACGUCUAUGCCACGGUCCAUGAGGUCUAGAGGGGGGGUAACGGCGUUCCACUAGGGGUGGUCCAUGCCGCCAGCUCAGUGGCUUCCACCUGCCUAAGUUGGGGCUGAAUGAUACCAGGCUAUUUGAUACCUGUGUCCUACUACCUUACUGUGAAAAGUACCAACUUCGUCAACAUGACUGCGAUCCUGACGGAAAAAGACCACCGGAAGUACCCGGAUACCUUUUAAUCCUGCUAACUUUCUGGAUGAUAAGGGCCAGUUCUGCAAACAAGAUUCCUUCCUGGCCUUUUCUCUGGGCCUGUGGGUGUGUCUGGGGGAGUAGCUGGCCAGUUGGAUCUGUUUUGUGUUCUUCACAUCCCUGUUGCAGCACCUGUGUUUAUCCUGGCCCCCCAACACUUCUCCCCAGGACACGGAGGGCAUUCUUCAACCUGAUCCACAAACCCAAACCCUUCACCAUGCUCUGUCACAGCCGAGGCACCAAACACUGAGACCAGGGCCCACUCCCAUCCAGAGGGACCCACAGAAGCAACCAGGGUCAACGUCCUGCCCAAGGGCAUGCCGACAGAUCUCCCACAUGGUCAGAAACAGGGACCCGACCCAGGAACCUAUCAGCCACCGGCCCAAGUUCUCAACCGCCAGGCCACCAGCCCUCCAAGAUCCCCCCCCCCAAAGUUCCCAAGAGCUGCCCCUCAAUCAUCCGAGACCCACCACCCCUGAAAAAAAUAAAAAAUCAUAAUAAAAUGAUUCCAUUCCCCGUCCCCCAAUGUAGCAACAAUGAACUAAAGUGAAAAACAAAGGAAAAUAUGCAAGAAAUCAAGGACAACUGAAUACUUUUGAGUGCAUGUAUGGCACUAGUUACGUGUGAAUGAGUGUGUGUGUAUGCAUGUGUACGGGCAUUAAAUGUAACAACGUUGCCCCUCAGUGUCAUUCAAUGUUUUUGGUUUAUUUUGACUUUAAUGUACUGUAUGUUAAAGGUUGUGUGGGAAAGUAAGAUGACUAGAGUGUUGGAGAGGUAGUGGGUGUGUUAUUGUACAGUGCUGUUGAAUGGAUGUGACCUUGUGCACGCUAAGCUUUUACCAAGAACUUAACAUGACAGAAUAGACCUUGCCUGUUCAGUUUGAGGCGAAAAAAAGCACGUUCCAUGUCUUUCAGAAUGUUUUAUUCAAAUGUUUAGAAAACUGUAUGAUAUGGUAAAGUAUGUAGCUUAUCACUCUAUCAAAAUAAAGUAAUUACCUAAGAUAAAUAUAAUCCAAUUGACGCUGUACAACAAUGAUUGAUUUAUGUAUUGUUCUAGGUUUACUUGUCUAAAAUCUGUCAAACAUGAAUAAAAUUGGGUACAAAGUGUCUAUGUUCAAACAUGUACACUUUAAAGUGAAAUCUUGUUUGCCAUGCUGUAUCAUAUAUGUGUGUAUAUAUAUAUGUGUGUGUAUAUAUAUAUAUAUAUAUAUAUAUGUGUGUGUGUGUAUAUAUAUGUAUAUAUAUGUAUAUCUAUAUAUGUAUAUGUAUGUAUAUCUAUAUGUAUAUAUAUAUCUGUGUGUGUAUACUAUAUAUAUGUGUAUGUGUGUGUGUAUAUAUAUGUAUAUAUAUAUAUCUGUGUGUGUGUGUGUAUAUGUAUGUGUGUGUGUAUGUAUAUAUAUAUGUAUAUAAAAUCAUUGAAUGAAUUGUAUUUCCACAGUCUAAAAAUGUAAAAAAUCAUCAAUCUGUAAUUCACAGGCGUGUACUUUCAUGGUAAGAAUGUGUUGAUUGUGUGUAUCCCGUCUUGUAGGAUGUGCCAUUGUCUUGUAUGUAGACUUCCCUAAUGCUUUUCCCUGAUAUCGUUAUGGGCCGUGUACAUUUGAGGUUCUUCCGUUGGCUUGACUUUGAUUGGAAUCUUGAAAUCGGUCUCUUUGCGGACGGCCUGGUCCCUGCUUGGCAUAGGUCAAGAAGGCUAGCGACAACCAACACGACCGGCAUCCGUCCCACCUCCACAAUGGCCUAGUGCUGGGAGCACCAGUGUCUGUACCCCGAUCCCCUGAAGCCUCACCACAUCGGGGAGGGAGGCCAAGAGGUACCUGGUGGAGGGGUAGGGCUUAAGUACCUCCGGGUGCAGGAGGAGAGAGCAGGCCUGACUCAUACGGGAAAGGGGUACUCCCUCUGGGUGCUGGUUCAUCAGGUCAUGCAGGCUGCUCCUCAGUCUAGUCAGGUAACUAUUCUGGGCAGUAGUAGAGGCUGCUGGUCUAGCAGAAGUCCUUACUUUUUAAGAAAAAGAAAAGAUAAUCAUUUUGAGGUUGCAGUCAGGUGCUAUCCUCUCAUUGUUGAAAUAUAACCAAAUUAGGGCUAGUUAAAAAUGUACUGGGGGGGGGGGGUCUGAUCCAAUCACGACUCCCCUUGUACUGUAAAUCACUUGCAGAAUCUCU
RNAcentral lists this long non-coding RNA (2981 nucleotides) under Salmo salar (Atlantic salmon). RNAcentral's name for it is "lncRNA (ENSSSAG00000098980.1)". Lineage: Eukaryota; Metazoa; Chordata; Actinopteri; Salmoniformes; Salmonidae. The record is from RNAcentral.